AUGUCGGCCGGAAUCGUUGCCGUGGGAGGAGCCUCGUGUGCGGCGGCGGUCAUCGGGGUCGGGGAAGAUGAUCCCGGCACGGAUGUCGUGGUGGCCGAGAGGCAGUGCCGAUGGGCACUCCGGUUCCACCUCGUCGGCGUGAACCACGUGCUGAGCGGGAGCAGCGCCGGGCGCUCGGGAGAUGGAGAUCGAUCGAGCCAUGACAGACAGCAGUAG
RNAcentral lists this ribosomal RNA (216 nucleotides) under Triticum aestivum (bread wheat). RNAcentral describes it as "partial small subunit ribosomal RNA". The record is from RNAcentral. Lineage: Eukaryota; Viridiplantae; Streptophyta; Magnoliopsida; Poales; Poaceae.